GGGAAGACAACAUGCCCCGCCGACCCGCUAUGAGGCGGGGAGCGGCCGUGUUCUUCCUCAGUGCCUCACUGCAGCUGGAAAAGAGAGAGUCUAAGGUGCGGUUUGUUUCCUCUCCUCCCUUGCUGUAAUCUGCUAGCUACAAUAUAUUGCUGAGCAUUCAAGUAGAGCUGCCCCAUGAUACAGAACUGGGACUCAAAAUUUCCUGCUCCUUCAACAAGUCAACUUGACCAGUUUGGAGUCUGGCCAUAAAAAACAGGCCUUUCUAACCUGCUGUGGUUCAGGACACCAGCCUUCAAAUUGUGGCUCUGUUUAUCAGGAUUUGCAUUCUAAUUUCUUUGGGUACAAAGCCAAGUAUUUCUCUGCAUGUCGCCUUCCUGUGGACUUAUUAAUUGAUCGAAGAUUUAGCUGGAAUGUUCUGACCUAGGAAGUAUGUCUCCUUCUGCAGUGCUUGCAUGAUUUUGAUUUAGCAGCUUUGCCAGUGGUCAAAGGAUCAGAACAUCAGUAGAAAGUUGAAGAAGAAAACACUGUGUGAAGAAACACAUCCUACUCCAUUAGAAAUGAUGGAGUUGGAAAAGUCUCUCCCUGUCCAAAGGCCCUGUUUCACAGGCUGCUUUCCAAGGACUCGCUGACCUUGAUAACUCUGUAGUGCACAUACUGAAGAUAAUAAGCAGCUGGUUUUGCAUGUGUCACAAGUUUUUUGAAAUUUGUGUAUGGAUGACCCAGCUGAAGAAUACUAAUACUGAAUGAAGAUGGAGGACAGAAACUAACAUGUGUCAGUGGAGCAUAACAAAUCCACAGGAAGGGCUUAGUUUUACCGAAGUUCAUUUGCUACUUUAUAUCUGUAGUAAUUCUAAGCAAAGUUACCUAAGAAAUUAAAUUGACACAAACACAAUAGAUGCUCAUUAUGAAUCAGAAAAUUAUUCUGAGCUGAGACAGAUUUGUUUAAAAAGUUGGAGACUGGAAAUGCUGAAAUUAGCAGUUUUGUAUGAUCUUUUAAGAAAUAUUUCUUUGUAAUGGCAGAAAAAAUUGAAACACCUUUGAAUUCAAUUGUUAGUCCAGGCUAGCUGGUAUCUGGUCUCAUACUUUCCUUACUACAAGGAAAGUAUGAGACCAGAUACCAGCUACCCUGCCCUU
Melospiza melodia melodia is the source of this 1134-nucleotide long non-coding RNA. RefSeq lists it as uncharacterized. Lineage: Eukaryota; Metazoa; Chordata; Aves; Passeriformes; Passerellidae. The transcript has 7 exons. The record is from RefSeq and is a predicted model, not a curated record.